Molecule: long non-coding RNA, 704 nt
Filed under: Monodelphis domestica (gray short-tailed opossum)
Lineage: Eukaryota; Metazoa; Chordata; Mammalia; Didelphimorphia; Didelphidae
Description: lncRNA (ENSMODG00000045754.1)
Source: RNAcentral
GGCCGGGGAAGGGAGCGAGGGAGAAGAGCCCCUCGGAGCCCUGAGGAGUGCAGCAGAGCUGCUCUGAGCUGAGCGCGCCAGCUGCCCCUCCCUGUCCUCUACCUGCGCUCGCUCACUCCUCUGCCUCCUCCCCUGCCCCGCCCCCGCUCUACCUGAGCUCACCCUCCGCCCCCGCCCCGCCCCCCUAGGCACGCGCUGCCUCCGCUGCCGCAGGACGCGCCGGGCACCUGGCACCUGGCAGCCGCUGCGGGCACACCUCCCCAGCCAGCUACGUCCAGGCGGAGCCGUUCUGUCCGGGCAGGAGGCGGGCGCGCAGACGGCCGGCCAGGAAGCCCCACGGAGGGCAAGCGAGCAGAGACCGGAGCCGCCUAGGAGAACAAGUCCGGGGCCAGCUUUGCCUCCGGGCGCCCAGGCUGAGUCCGUGCCCCCAACAUGGCUUCCGCCGCCACAGCCGAAACAGCUCCGGGAGCCCAGGUUGAUAGCAUCCUCCAUCAUAAGUCCUUUGGAACUGCCUUGGAUCAUGCCAUUGUUGAGGAUCCUCAAGUGGAUUAGACUUGUUAAAAAAAAUAAAAGAAAGAAAGGCUGGUGUGGUACCAGCUUAGCCUGACAAAGGUAAGACUGAAUUAGAAUUUCACAGUUAAUUACAUAAACCAUGGACGAAUUUUUUAAUAGUAGAAUUGAUCUUAAUUACAAUCUGUUGACGG